UACGGAGGGUGCAAGCGUUAUCCGGAUUCACUGGGUUUAAAGGGUGCGUAGGCGGGCAGGUAAGUCCGUGGUGAAAUCUCUGAGCUUAACUCAGAAACUGCCAUGGAUACUAUUUGUCUUGAAUAUUGUGGAGGUAAGCGGAAUAUGUCAUGUAGCGGUGAAAUGCUUAGAUAUGACAUAGAACACCAGUUGCGAAGGCAGCUUACUACACAGUUAUUGACGCUGAGGCACGAAAGCGUGGGGAUCAAACAGG
Molecule: ribosomal RNA, 253 nt
Filed under: uncultured bacterium
Lineage: Bacteria
Description: partial 16S ribosomal RNA
Rfam family: Bacterial small subunit ribosomal RNA
Source: RNAcentral